This 440-nucleotide ribosomal RNA is filed under the name uncultured bacterium. Its description in RNAcentral is "partial 16S ribosomal RNA". It matches the Rfam family "Bacterial small subunit ribosomal RNA", at positions 338 to 795 of the family's 1533-position model. The record is from RNAcentral.
CCUACGUGCGGCAGCAGUGGGGAAUAUUGCACAAUGGGGGAAACCCUGAUGCAGCGACGCCGCGUGAGUGAAGAAGUAAUUCGUUAUGUACAGCUCUAUCAGCAGGGAAGAAAAUGACGGUACCUGAGUAAGAAGCCCCGGCUAACUACGUGCCAGCAGCCGCGGGAAUACGUAGGGGGCAAGCGUUAUCCGGAUUUACGGGGUGUAAAGGGAGCGUAGACGGCAGUGCAAGUCUGGAGUGAAAGGCGGGGGCUCAACCCCCGGACUGCUCUGGAAACUGUACGGCUGGAGUGCAGGAGAGGUAAGUGGAAUUCCUAGUGUAGCGGUGAAAUGCGUAGAUAUUAGGAGGAACACCAGUGGCGAAGGCGGCUUACUGGACUGUAACUGACGUUGAGGCUCGAAAGCGUGGGGAGCAAACAGGAUUAGAUACCCGUGUAGUC